AGUGGCGAACGGGUGAGUAACACGUGGGUAACCUGCCCAAGAGACUGGGAUAACACCUGGAAACAGAUGCUAAUACCGGAUAACAACACUAGACGCAUGUCUAGAGUNUAAAAGAUGGUUCUGCUAUCACUCUUGGAUGGACCUGCGGUGCAUUAGCUAGUUGGUAAGGUAACGGCUUACCAAGGCAAUGAUGCAUAGCCGAGUUGAGAGACUGAUCGGCCACAUUGGGACUGAGACACGACCCAAACUCCUACGGGAGGCAGCAGUAGGGAAUCUUCCACAAUGGGCGAAAGCCUGAUGGAGCAACGCCGCGUGGGUGAAGAAGGUCUUCGGAUCGUAAAACCCUGUUGUUAGAGAAGAAAGUGCGUGAGAGUAACUGUUCACGUUUCGACGGUAUCUAACCAGAAAGCCACGGCUAACUACGUGCCGGCAGCCGCGGUAAUACGUAGGUGGCAAGCGUUAUCCGGAUUUAUUGGGCGUAAAGGGAACGCAGGCGGUCUUUUAAGUCUGAUGUGAAAGCCUUCGGCUUAACCGGAGUAGUGCAUUGGAAACUGGGAGACUUGAGUGCAGAAGAGGAGAGUGGAACUCCAUGUGUAGCGGUGAAAUGCGUAGAUAUAUGGAAGAACACCAGUGGCGAAAGCGGCUCUCUGGUCUGUANCUGACGCUNANGUUCGAAAGCGUGGGUAGCAAACAGGAUUAGAUACCCUGGUA
RNAcentral lists this ribosomal RNA (711 nucleotides) under uncultured bacterium. RNAcentral's name for it is "bacterial SSU rRNA". It matches the Rfam family "Bacterial small subunit ribosomal RNA", at positions 94 to 792 of the family's 1533-position model. The record is from RNAcentral.